UGGGGGAUAUUGCACAAUGGGCGAAAGCCUGUUGCAGCGACGCCGCGUGGGGGAUGAAGGCUUUCGGGUUGUAAACCUCUUUCGCUAUCGAACAAGGCCCGCUUAGGGUGGGUUGAGGGUAGGUGGAGAAGAAGCGCCGGCUAACUACGUGCCAGCAGCCGCGGUAAUACGUAGGGCGCGAGCGUUGUCCGGAAUUAUUGGGCGUAAAGGGCUUGUAGGCGGCUUGUUGCGCCUGCUGUGAAAACGCGGGGCUUAACUUCGCGCGUGCAGUGGGUACGGGCAGGCUUGAGUGUGGUAGGGGUGACUGGAAUUCCAGGUGUAGCGGUGGAAUGCGCAGAUAUCUGGAGGAACACCGAUGGCGAAGGCAGGUCACUGGGCCAUUACUGACGCUGAGGAGCGAAAGCAUGGGUAGCGAACAGG
This 420-nucleotide ribosomal RNA is filed under the name bacterium. RNAcentral describes it as "partial 16S ribosomal RNA". It matches the Rfam family "Bacterial small subunit ribosomal RNA", at positions 355 to 776 of the family's 1533-position model. The record is from RNAcentral. RNAcentral also lists the same sequence under 1 other name.